GUGGCGGACGGGUGAGUAAUGUCUGGGAAACUGCCUGAUGGAGGGGGAUAACUACUGGAAACGGUAGCUAAUACCGCAUAACGUCGCAAGACCAAAGAGGGGGACCUUCGGGCCUCUUGCCAUCAGAUGUGCCCAGAUGGGAUUAGCUAGUAGGUGGGGUAACGGCUCACCUAGGCGACGAUCCCUAGCUGGUCUGAGAGGAUGACCAGCCACACUGGAACUGAGACACGGUCCAGACUCCUACGGGAGGCAGCAGUGGGGAAUAUUGCACAAUGGGCGCAAGCCUGAUGCAGCCAUGCCGCGUGUAUGAAGAAGGCCUUCGGGUUGUAAAGUACUUUCAGCGGGGAGGAAGGUGUUGUGGUUAAUAACCGCAGCAAUUGACGUUACCCGCAGAAGAAGCACCGGCUAACUCCGUGCCAGCAGCCGCGGUAAUACGGAGGGUGCAAGCGUUAAUCGGAAUUACUGGGCGUAAAGCGCACGCAGGCGGUCUGUCAAGUCGGAUGUGAAAUCCCCGGGCUCAACCUGGGAACUGCAUUCGAAACUGGCAGGCUAGAGUCUUGUAGAGGGGGGUAGAAUUCCAGGUGUAGCGGUGAAAU
Molecule: ribosomal RNA, 596 nt
Filed under: Enterobacter sp. GA12
Lineage: Bacteria; Pseudomonadati; Pseudomonadota; Gammaproteobacteria; Enterobacterales; Enterobacteriaceae
Description: bacterial SSU rRNA
Rfam family: Bacterial small subunit ribosomal RNA
Source: RNAcentral